This 459-nucleotide ribosomal RNA is filed under the name uncultured bacterium. RNAcentral describes it as "partial 16S ribosomal RNA". It matches the Rfam family "Bacterial small subunit ribosomal RNA", at positions 338 to 795 of the family's 1533-position model. The record is from RNAcentral.
CCUACGGGAGGCUGCAGUGAGGAAUAUUGGUCAAUGGUCGGGAGACUGAACCAGCCAAGCCGCGUGAGGGAUGAAGGUACAGAGUAUCGUAAACCUCUUUUGUCAGGGAACAAAGGCGGGGACGUGUCCCCGGAUGAGUGUACCUGAAGAAAAAGCAUCGGCUAACUCCGUGCCAGCAGCCGCGGUAAUACGGAGGAUGCGCGCGUUAUCCGGAUUUAUUGGGUUUAAAGGGUGCGCAGGCGGUCUGUUAAGUCAGCGGUCAAACCCCGGGGCUCACCCCCGGCCCGCCGUUGAAACUGGCAGUCUCGAGUUGGAGAGAAGUAUGCGGAAUGCGCGGUGUAGCGGUGAAAUGCAUAGAUAUCGCGCAGAACUCCGAUUGCGAAGGCAGCAUGCCGGCUCCACACUGACGCUGAGGCACGAAAGCGUGGGUAUCGAACAGGAUUAGAUACCCGGGUAGUC